RNAcentral lists this ribosomal RNA (498 nucleotides) under Triticum aestivum (bread wheat). RNAcentral describes it as "partial small subunit ribosomal RNA". Lineage: Eukaryota; Viridiplantae; Streptophyta; Magnoliopsida; Poales; Poaceae. The record is from RNAcentral.
AUGAACGUCGGAUGGCUCAAGGAUGUCAAUGAAAGGGUUGUCAUGGAUCAAGUGUGGCUAGGCUUUGCCAUUGCUCACUCGCUGUUGAUCGGCUACUUCUUAACCUUUAAAGUCCCGAACCAGGAUGUUUACAUGGUCAUCGUCUUCAACCGCUACUGCGUAGAGAUGGUCAUCAAGUGCGGCGAGCAGGAGCACGAGCCAAACCUUGCCAUGAUCGUUGCGCGAGGGUUUAUUAAUCUCCAUUUCACUUCGCUCUCCGUUGAGACCAAAAGGCCAUCAGAGACGGACGAACUUGCAUCGGCGACGAUGGCUCGACAUGGCUGCUUGGUGCAGCCCGCUACCGGCGUGAAGGGGCGCCAAGCCUGUGCGGCGGAUCUCGACCUCAGCGCUGCUCCUUCCGACACGGGAAGGAGGGAUCAACCUCCAGUGCAUGGCGCGGUGAUGCCCCCGGCAGCGGCGCUCCGCCCAGGCCGGCAUCCACCCAAGAAACCGAUUUAG